This 392-nucleotide ribosomal RNA is filed under the name uncultured bacterium. Its description in RNAcentral is "partial 16S ribosomal RNA". It matches the Rfam family "Bacterial small subunit ribosomal RNA", at positions 523 to 918 of the family's 1533-position model. The record is from RNAcentral.
AUACGUAUGUCGCAAGCGUUAUCCGGAUUUAUUGGGCGUAAAGCGCGUCUAGGCGGCUUAGUAAGUCUGAUGUGAAAAUGCGGGGCUCAACCCCGUAUUGCGAUGGAAACUGCUAAACUAGAGUACUGGAGAGGUAGGCGGAACUACAAGUGUAGAGGUGAAAUUCGUAGAUAUUUGUAGGAAUGCCGAUGGGGAAGCCAGCCUACUGGACAGAUACAGACGUUAAAGCGCGAAAGCGUGGAUAGCAAACGGGGUUAGAUUCCCUGGUAGUCCACGACGUAAACGAUGAUUACUAGGUGUUGGGGGUCGAACCUCAGCGCCCAAGCUAACGCGAUAAGUAAUCCGCCUGGGGAGUACGUACGCAAGUAUGAAACUCAAAGGAAUUGACGGGG